Molecule: ribosomal RNA, 303 nt
Filed under: uncultured bacterium
Lineage: Bacteria
Description: partial 16S ribosomal RNA
Rfam family: Bacterial small subunit ribosomal RNA
Source: RNAcentral
AGCAGCCGCCGCGGGAAUACCGAGGGUGCGAGCGUUGUUCGGAAUUACUGGGCGUAAAGCGCACGUAGGCGGAUAUUUAAGUCAGGGGUGAAAUCCCGCAGCUCAACUGCGGAACUGCCUUUGAUACUCGGUAUCUUGAGUAUGGAAGAGGUUAGUGGAAUUGCGAGUGUAGAGGUGAAAUUCGUGGAUAUUCUCAGGAACACCAGUGGCGAAGGCGGCCAUCUGGGACAACACUGACGCUGAGGCACGAAAGCGUGGGGAGCAAACAGGAUUAGAUACCCGUGUAGUCCCUGUCUCUUAUAC